Molecule: ribosomal RNA, 463 nt
Filed under: Paenibacillus sp. R-42302
Lineage: Bacteria; Bacillati; Bacillota; Bacilli; Caryophanales; Paenibacillaceae
Description: bacterial SSU rRNA
Rfam family: Bacterial small subunit ribosomal RNA
Source: RNAcentral
GACGAACGCUGGCGGCGUGCCUAAUACAUGCAAGUCGAGCGGGGUUAUKUAGAAGCUUGCUUYUACAYAACCUAGCGGCGGACGGGUGAGUAACACGUAGGCAACCUGCCCACAAGACAGGGAUAACUACCGGAAACGGUAGCUAAUACCCGAUAYAUCCUUUUCCUGCAUGGGAGAAGGAGGAAAGACGGAGCAAUCUGUCACUUGUGGAUGGGCCUGCGGCGCAUUAGCUAGUUGGUGGGGUAAAGGCCUACCAAGGCGACGAUGCGUAGCCGACCUGAGAGGGUGAUCGGCCACACUGGGACUGAGACACGGCCCAGACUCCUACGGGAGGCAGCAGUAGGGAAUCUUCCGCAAUGGGCGAAAGCCUGACGGAGCAACGCCGCGUGAGUGAUGAAGGUUUUCGGAUCGUAAAGCUCUGUUGCCAGGGAAGAACGUCUUGUAGAGUAACUGCUACAAGAGU